Molecule: transfer RNA, 73 nt
Filed under: Blautia hansenii DSM 20583
Lineage: Bacteria; Bacillati; Bacillota; Clostridia; Lachnospirales; Lachnospiraceae
Description: tRNA-Gly
Rfam family: tRNA
About the family: Transfer RNA (tRNA) molecules are approximately 80 nucleotides in length. Their secondary structure includes four short double-helical elements and three loops (D, anti-codon, and T loops).
Source: RNAcentral
GCAUCGUUAGUAUAACGGAAUAUUAUGUCUGAUUUCCAAUCAGAAGAUAUGAGUUCGACUCUCAUACGAUGUU